Molecule: long non-coding RNA, 1461 nt
Filed under: Triticum aestivum (bread wheat)
Lineage: Eukaryota; Viridiplantae; Streptophyta; Magnoliopsida; Poales; Poaceae
Description: long non-coding RNA (TAES_LNC028206)
Source: RNAcentral
UUCCGAAAUGUAGUGCGCAUAAGCUGCUUUGGACUAAAGUAAGGUUAUGAUUUGAUAGCUGCCUGGGAUAGACAGUAACAUCUCAUCAUGCAACAUGGUAAGUAAGGUCUUUUGUCCAUUGUUUGUCAUGGUUUAUUAUUGUUUCUAAUAGCUACCACUUGUAGAUUUAUCUUCCAUGUGAAUCCAUCGGUUGAUACAUCUUGUACGUUAUCCACAAAGGCACAUCGAUUAUCUAUUCUGGACCCUAUUCAUACAACACAACCGUUGGAGAUGGAAAAUCCGAGGCACUUAGUGAAAUCAAAAGGUUUUGUGAGAGAAUUCAAAGAAGCACUCAAAAUAAAGCUAUCAGGAUAGCAUUCUGAUAUAUCAAAAUGGCAACGUUUAUUUCCUAUUGGUAUUCCAAUGAGCGUAGACGGGUAAUUAAUUCAUAAUACAAACAUUUAUUUUUCUUACCAUCAUAUUAAAUAUAAUAAUAAUUUUUCCAUUUUAUGCUCUUGUGGAAUGGUAAAGACUUGGCGAAGCCGGUUUGCACAGCGAGUAUUUUCCGUUACACAUGUGCUUAGACCUUCCACGUGAAACAUAUACUUUUGCAGGAUGGGUAUGAGUUGAGGAAGCAACUUUUUAUUAUACUUUCUCAAACAUCAUGCAAAUGAAGCUAAAGACAACUUUCAUAAUAUUGUGCGAGAAUUUCUUAAGCGCAUCAAGUAGAUCUCAAUAGUUUGUAAUAGAUUUUGAGUUGGAUCAUCACUUUAUAUAUAUUCAUUGUUAGUUUGCCAUUUUGUUAUCAGUUUAUAUUACAAGUGAAGUGGACUUCAAUUAUUAUGCAAUUGUGACGGUGUUAUAUUAUCCUAGCUGUGAAAUUUAGCAUGCAUUAUCUUUAUAUAACUUCAGCAAAAUAUUUCAGAAGCCCGUGGCAACCAGGUUUUUAUGUCAAUCCACCAUAUUUUCUAGCCAGUUGGGGAACUGAGUGCGGUAGCGGAGCUGUGGGAGUGGUGGACAUGCAAUGAGGGAAGGACAAAGAAUAGAGGAUUAGGAAGGACGGAUGGAGGUGUCGGAGCUGAGAGAAAAGAGGGAAAUAUCGAAGGGAGUUGGCAUGGAAAGAAAGCGAAGUUGUGCCCCAAGGUUAGAGUGUGAUCGUGCUAUAAAUGUUACCUUUUAUCAAUGCCCGUGUUCAUUCUCGAAGGCUCCACACAAUCAUUGUGAAGGAAUAUGGCAAACUCAUUGAGGACAAUCAUUGUGGUGAUUUCUAAGCUCAAUUUCUGGUGGAGUAGUCUCAUGACAAAUUAAGAGGACAACCCAUGAGUAACUCAUAAAUUUAUAAAAUCACCUUGUUUUUUCAUGCAUAUUCAUGUUACCUACAAACAUUAGAUGUGAUUGAUUUAGGGAAGAAACAAUGGAAGAGAUGGUGGUUUUGCAAUGUAAAAUAUAUGUCUGAAUCAAGUAUUGUUUAUUUAAUCAUCU